UACAGAGGGUGCGAGCGUUAAUCGGAAUUACUGGGCGUAAAGGGUGCGUAGGCGGAAGUUUAAGUUAGAUGUGAAAUCCCCGGGCUUAACCUGGGAAUUGCAUUUGAUACUGGACGUCUAGAGUAGAGUAGAGGGAAGUGGAAUUUCCGGUGUAGCGGUGAAAUGCGUAGAUAUCGGAAAGAACAUCAGUGGCGAAGGCGGCUUCCUGGACUCAUACUGACGCUGAGGCACGAAAGCAUGGGGAGCAAACAGG
This 253-nucleotide ribosomal RNA is filed under the name uncultured bacterium. RNAcentral describes it as "partial 16S ribosomal RNA". It matches the Rfam family "Bacterial small subunit ribosomal RNA", at positions 524 to 776 of the family's 1533-position model. The record is from RNAcentral.